Molecule: long non-coding RNA, 629 nt
Organism: Panicum hallii
Lineage: Eukaryota; Viridiplantae; Streptophyta; Magnoliopsida; Poales; Poaceae
Exons: 3
Source: RefSeq, a predicted model, not a curated record
UCUGAACGUACCUGAUUUUCCCGGCCCCGCCAAGAGUUGGGUAAUACAAUUUAGGGCUCAGGAUCUGCACCCUCUGGCUGGGCCGUAUGAGGUGUCGCGAUGCCUGGAGGCAUAUCUGUUGUGGUUCUUCGGCUGCACUCUUUUCUGCAACUCUACCGGCAAUUAUGUGGACAAGGUGCUCAUGCAAUAUGCGCGCGCGAUUGCGGAUGCGGAGCCGAGCCAGGUACCUAGGUGGAGCUGGGGAUCGGCAGUGCUUGCUGCCACGUACCGAGGCCUUUGCUAGGCCUGUUUGAAGACGGAGAGGACCGCCGUCAUCACAGGCUGCCCACUUCUGCUGCAGCUAUGGUCGUACGAGCGAUUCGCCAUAGCACGCCCCCUAAUCAGGGAGGAGCCUUAUCUGCGCGAGAUGUAUGGGAUGUGGGACGAGGAUAGCCCCACGAUGGGUUCGCUUUGGACCGAUCGACGGACGAGCUGGGCACAUCGGCAGAUCCGAAAAGCAUACCCGCAGUUCGUGUCUGAAUUUGAUUGGAUGCGGCCACAGGAUGUCAUCUGGACCCCGUACACCGCUGCGACUAUCCAGACACGUGCGCCGCACGGGUUGUCUUCCCUCUGCACGCGUGACGAGGAGU